RNAcentral lists this ribosomal RNA (253 nucleotides) under uncultured bacterium. Its description in RNAcentral is "partial 16S ribosomal RNA". It matches the Rfam family "Bacterial small subunit ribosomal RNA", at positions 524 to 776 of the family's 1533-position model. The record is from RNAcentral.
UACGUAGGGUGCAAGCGUUAAUCGGAAUUACUGGGCGUAAAGCGUGCGCAGGCGGCUUUGCAAGACAGAUGUGAAAUCCCCGGGCUUAACCUGGGAACUGCAUUUGUGACUGCAUGGCUAGAGUGCGGCAGAGGGGGAUGGAAUUCCGCGUGUAGCAGUGAAAUGCGUAGAUAUGCGGAGGAACACCGAUGGCGAAGGCAAUCCCCUGGGCCUGCACUGACGCUCAUGCACGAGAGCGUGGGGAGCAAACAGG